AUCCAACAAAUAUGAGUAUAUAAAAUCCACCAACUAAAAGUUUUCACAGUUCAAGCUCGACUCCUCUAAAUCAUCAAACCACAUAUUCUAAUAAUAGUUUCUGCAGAUUAUCAAUUCAUAAUGGUCUGAUCAGUAAAGUAGAUAGCCGGAGCUGUCCUCUCAACAUAUGCUUAUAUGGGAAAAGAAAAUCCCCAUCCCCUCUUAAGCAAUUGCCAAAUCCAACAUCUCUACUCAUCAGAACACAAGAAACAACAAAUUAUGAUACAUAAAAAAUGGCAACAAAAACACACACUGAUCCACAAAAUAUUAAUUCAGAAAGAGGAAUUAAACUGAAACAGAAGCCGAUAUGAAUAUAGAUCAAAUAUUGUCAUUACGUAGACUUAAUCGACGGGCUAAAUAAAUAGCAUAAACUUCAACUUACCAAAAGCAGAACAGGAGAAACAAAGCAGAACCGAUCAGUGGAGAAAGAAAGCAGAACAGGAGAAAGAAAGGAGAACCGAUCCUUUUUAUAGAUGAAAUAUAAGAUUGUCAAUUUGACAAAGAAUUCUACAUUUGAUAGGAUUUAUCUAUGAAUUUGAGUCUAUCUAUAAUUUGUUAAUAAUUGUGAUGUUGAUCAAAUACAUAUUAAUAAUUAAAAUUUAGAGAAAGAGAUAAAGAUUAUAGUUUGUGCUGCGUGCUUUUCUGGUUCAUUGGAUUGGAAUACUCGG
Molecule: long non-coding RNA, 707 nt
Filed under: Salvia miltiorrhiza (redroot sage)
Lineage: Eukaryota; Viridiplantae; Streptophyta; Magnoliopsida; Lamiales; Lamiaceae
Description: long non-coding RNA (SMIL_LNC001122)
Source: RNAcentral